GUCAAGUCAGCGGAUGGCACGGGGGAGAAAAGAAACUCGAGGUGAAUACUGUACGUCUCCAUCGGAGAGACGCAGUCUGCAUUGAGGAAGUCUUGGGCUUGUCUCUCCAGCCGGCUGAUCCGAGACUGCUCCGACAGCACCUGGCUGCCUCCACCCUUCUCUACGCUGUGCUCCUACACAGACAAACACAACGAGACAAAUGACCCCCUGUGGCGUUUAUAACACCCUCUAUGGCGAUGUCACACGUCAAGCCCACGUCUGGAGUCAAACAGCGGACGAUGCAGUUACCCCCCACGCCCAACGGUGCAUCACAUGAAAGCUUUGUCUACAGCAGGAGACACAGAAACAGCAGGAGAACCACAGUAAUACCUAACAUGCACUAUUGGCUCAGGAACCCUCUGAACCCAGGACCUCAACGCUGUGAGGCGAACGCCAGAACACCCACCGGUUUCUGACAGUUAUGGCAUUAAAGUCAUGUAAUUCU
Sebastes umbrosus (honeycomb rockfish) is the source of this 484-nucleotide long non-coding RNA. RefSeq lists it as uncharacterized. The transcript is spliced from 4 exons. Lineage: Eukaryota; Metazoa; Chordata; Actinopteri; Perciformes; Sebastidae. The record is from RefSeq and is a predicted model, not a curated record.